AAGGAAAAAAGGGUAUGUUUUUAAAAGAGUGGAAAAUUAUUUUUUGAAAACCGUACCAAACAGGCUCUAAAACUCUAAAAAUAUUUUCAGUUUUCUUUUCUCCAGCAGAGGAGGCGACUCCAUUAUUCAUCUUCAACCUUCUUCCACCUUAUUUGCUAAGUAAAAUCCCACUCUUACAUCACCACGGUCAUCUCUAUCUGUUGCUGAUUUGGUUGAUAUCAAAUGGAUUCUACAGAUGCCCUAGGUCCCAUGACUUAUAUGGAGAAGAUUAAUAAAGGGAGCUAAUAGCACCUAAUGGUGUUCCUUGAAUGGUGCUGAAGAUCCUCUGGAAUAAGAUAUCUUAGUGGAGUUUUCACUUACACGUUAGUUAAAGAAUACUUGGACUUUGCUCUUAUACAUAGGUUGAAGAAUAAUACCUUAGUUUGCUAUCAUUCAUUAAUUCUUUAUUCAUUCAUUUUUUCUUACAAAAGUAUCAAAACGGGUGAAGAUUCUAGUUAGUUUUGCUUUCUAUUUGCUAGAGAUUAUUAUCACUUUUGUUAUAGAUUUUUCGGUUUGCUUAAAGAUUAUUAUCAGGUAGCUUACUGAAUCUACUAUUAUUAUUUGUAAAUUUCCUUUCUCUGUUGUAGAGAGUAAACUCUAUUGUUUAUACAAGCAGCCUGGAUUUCUACUUAAACAGGUUAGCAGAAUAAGUAUUUCAGUGUAAAACUGGAACUUAUAGUGUAAAACAAGAACUGCAAUAUUUAAAAUUAGGAUCGGAUCGGUUUGGAGACUCGUUUUACCCGAGUCAACUCGACCUGGUUUACAUGUAAUCGGUAAACCGCUACCGAAUUGAAUCGAUCUGACACUAGAUCAGACGGUUCAUAACCCGAUCUAAAAGUUCAAUACUAAUUGGGGCAGCUGGAAAAAAAACCCGACUUGUAUGGUUUUAUAGUCGGUAGGGAUGAAAACCGAUCCGGAUCGACCGUCGUGCACCCCUAGUGGAGAUUGAUCAUCACUGCUUCAGGGAAUUAGUUGAAAAUGGUUUCCUACUUACCUUUUUAGGUAGAAGAUGUGUUUACAAGGUCUUACUCGUACUUUGUUUACUUCUUGUAUGUCCAAGUUGAUGUAUUUUUCUAAGCAUCAGUUUGAGGGGGAAUGUAAAUAUAUAAAGUGUUUGUUGUAACUUGAUAUAAUUUGUGUCUAUAAUGAUUCAGUACUUGUCAUUGUAUUAUGUUAUCUUGUUAGUAGUAUAAUAUGAACUUUAAGAACUAA
Long non-coding RNA from Papaver somniferum (opium poppy), 1251 nucleotides. RefSeq lists it as uncharacterized. NCBI's taxonomy places the organism in Eukaryota, Viridiplantae, Streptophyta, Magnoliopsida, Ranunculales, Papaveraceae. The record is from RefSeq and is a predicted model, not a curated record. The transcript has 3 exons.